RNAcentral lists this ribosomal RNA (610 nucleotides) under Porophila cedri. Its description in RNAcentral is "partial 28S ribosomal RNA". It matches the Rfam family "Eukaryotic large subunit ribosomal RNA", at positions 675 to 1234 of the family's 3401-position model. The record is from RNAcentral. Lineage: Eukaryota; Metazoa; Arthropoda; Insecta; Coleoptera; Ptiliidae.
CUAGCAUGUGCGCGAGUCAUUGGGAUCUAUACGAAACCCAAAGGCGAAAUGAAAGUGAAAGGACGUCCUUGCACGUUUCGAGGGCCGAUGGGUGUUCCAUCCGUGGACGCUCCGCAGGCCCGCGGCGCCCCGUACUCAUUGCGAGUUGGGGCGCACGUAGAGCGUACAUGCUGGGACCCGAAAGAUGGUGAACUAUGCCUGGUCAGGACGAAGUCAGGGGAAACCCUGAUGGAGGUCCGUAGCGAUUCUGACGUGCAAAUCGAUCGUAAGAACUGGGCAUAGGGGCGAAAGACCAAUCGAACCAUCUAGUAGCUGGUUCCCUCCGAAGUUUCCCUCAGGAUAGCUGGCGCUCGUGUGAAGCGAGUUUCAUCCGGUAAAGCGAAUGAUUAGUGGCCUUGGGGUCGAAACGACCUCAACCAAUUCUCAAACUUUAAAUGGGUGAGAUACCCGGCCUGCUUGAGAAAUUAAGUGAGGCCGGGGAAUUCGUGAAUCAGAGUGCCAAGUGGGCCACUUUUGGUAAGCAGAACUGGCGCUGUGGGAUGAACCAAACGCCGGGUUAAAGCGCCCAAAUCGACGCUUAUGGGACACCAUGAAAGGCGUUGGUAACUUA